This 234-nucleotide long non-coding RNA is filed under the name Lathyrus oleraceus (garden pea). RNAcentral describes it as "Pisum sativum (pea) long non-coding RNA (PSAT_LNC007046)". The record is from RNAcentral. Lineage: Eukaryota; Viridiplantae; Streptophyta; Magnoliopsida; Fabales; Fabaceae.
ACUAGGCUAAAAUUCAAAGAGAUAAAAGAGACUUGAAAGAAACUGUGGGAGUUGAAUUUAUAAAAUAUUUCACUCACUUGAACAACUCUAUAGCAAUUGUUUUCUAUUCUCCUUUCUCUUUUUAUUCUUUUUUUAGGAGGAGUAUGUAUUGACAUCCUUAUAUUUUUUUCAUUUUUUUUUCUUUUUUAUUUUCUUUUUCUAUUUUUGUUUUCUUUUUCUGCCAACUUCUAAAAU